UACAGAGGUCUCAAGCGUUGUUCGGAUUCAUUGGGCGUAAAGGGUGCGUAGGCCGCGCGGAGGGUGGGAUGUGAAAUCCCCCGGCUCAACCGGGGAAUAGCGUCCCAAACCGCCGUGCUCGAGGGAGACAGAGGUGAGCGGAACUGAUGGUGGAGCGGUGAAAUGCGUUGAUAUCAUCAGGAACACCAGUGGCGAAGGCGGCUCACUGGGUCUUUCCUAACGCUGAGGCACGAAAGCUAGGGGAGCGAACGGG
This 253-nucleotide ribosomal RNA is filed under the name uncultured bacterium. Its description in RNAcentral is "partial 16S ribosomal RNA". It matches the Rfam family "Bacterial small subunit ribosomal RNA", at positions 524 to 776 of the family's 1533-position model. The record is from RNAcentral.